UAAAACAUCAACCAAAAAUAACCAGAGUAACAAUGAAAUUGUUCGUUAUCAUUUUUCAUUUUAACUAUAGAACGUUUGAUUUUGGAAACGACAGCAUGGCAAUAUAACGGCUUCCUGACAGUCAGGCUAGGUUGAAGUCUCAGUUGGAAAUUCCCUGUGUGUAUUUUGCAAUUUACUGUGACCUCCCGCAAUAGGUGAAAUCCGCUAUGUGGCAGCUCUUUAGUUAUUUAUCAGAAUCAUCAGAAUCAGAAAAACACAAGGAAUUUGUCUCCGGUAGUUGGAGCCGCUCUAGUAAGACAACAGACAGUCAAUUGACAGAGAAUGCUUUUGAGACAUAAAGACAUUGACAAAAAAGAAACAGUCACUGAGCAAUAAAGGGUUGCUCGUUAUCUGGUAAUGCCGGUACAUUUAUUUAUUUAUUUUUGACAUUUGUGCAAAAAGAUGCAGAGUCCUCUAGCACUUAGAGCAGUUCGAAAGACUAAUAUUACAAUAGUCCGGUGCAAUGACCAUUGUGCAAAGGGCGCCGAGACUUCAAGCGAGUUGUGCGAUAAUCUGGGAAAAUGUUGAUUGUGCAAAUCUUGCAGAUACUACUCAAUCAGUGUGCAAAUGGAGCAGAUGCUACUCUGCAUGAGUUGGUCAACAACAGAUAUGCAAAUAGUGCAGCGUGGUGAGACUACUACAGUGAGUGCAUGAGUAAUAUAUAAUUGGCUCCACAGAAAUGUGACAACACACUCAUGUUGGAAUGGAAUUGUGGGUUAGGUGUUUAAGAAGUUGAUUGCAAGAGGGAAGAAGCUGUUGGAAUGUCUGCUAGUUCUAGUUUGCAUUGAUUGGUAGCGCCUACCUGAGGGAAGGAGCUGGAAGAGCUGGUGACCGGGAUGUGGAGGGUCUGAGAGGAUUUUGCACGCCCUUGUCUUAGUUCUGGCAGCGUGCAAGUCCUCAAGGUUGGGUAGGGGGGUACCGACAAUCCUUUCAGCAGUUUUGAUUGUCCGUUGCAGUCGGAGUUUGUCCUUUUUUGUAGCAGCACCAAACCAGACUGUGAUGGAAGACCACAGGACUGAUUCGAUGACCGCUGUGUAGAACUGCCUCAGCAGCGCCUGUGGCAGGCCGUGCUUUCUCAAAAUCCACAGGAAGCACAUCCUCUGCUGGGCCUUUUGAGGACGGAGUUGAUGUUGGGUGCCCACUUCAUGUCCUGAGAGAAUGUAAUUCCCAGGAACUUGAAGGUCUUGACGGUUGACACAAGGCAGCUGGACAACGUGAGGGGCAGCUGUGGCGAAGGAUGCCUCCUGAAGUCCAUGAUCAUCUCUACAGUCUUGAGCGUGUUCAGCUCCAGGUUGUGUUGGCCGCACCACAGCUCCAGCCGCUCCACUUCUUGUCGAUAUGCAGACUCGUCACAGUCCUUGAUGAGGCCGAUGACAGUGGUGUCAUCUACAAACUUCAGGAGUUUGACAGCCGGGUGCGUUGAGGUGCAGUCGUUCGUGUCGAGAGAAGAGCAGCAGAGAGAGGACACAACCUUGGAGUGCCCCAGUGCUGAUGCUGCGUGUGGCUGAGGUGGCCUGCCCCAGCCUCACCUGCUGUGUCCUGCCCGUCAGGAAGCUGUAAAUCCACUGGCAGAUGGAAGGGAGUGUAGAUUCGCGAGGUGGAUGGACGGAAACGCCAAUCUGUACCUUCUCUUGCGGAGUUUCACCUGGAUGCCGGCUCGCUUCCCUCUGUGGCGUCGCCUCCGUUUCCAUGCGCCGAGGACCGCGGUCGCUGCUUCG
Phyllopteryx taeniolatus (common seadragon) is the source of this 1757-nucleotide long non-coding RNA. RefSeq lists it as uncharacterized. The transcript is spliced from 2 exons. NCBI's taxonomy places the organism in Eukaryota, Metazoa, Chordata, Actinopteri, Syngnathiformes, Syngnathidae. The record is from RefSeq and is a predicted model, not a curated record.